AGCGCAGGCGGGAAGACAAGUUGGAAGUGAAAUCUAUGGGCUCAACCCAUAAACUGCUUUCAAAACUGUUUUUCUUGAGUAGUGCAGAGGUAGGCGGAAUUCCCGGUGUAGCGGUGGAAUGCGUAGAUAUCGGGAAGAACACCAAUGGCGAAGGCGGCCUACUGGGCACCAACUGACGCUGAGGCUCGAAAGUGUGGGUAGCAAACA
Molecule: ribosomal RNA, 207 nt
Filed under: uncultured bacterium
Lineage: Bacteria
Description: partial 16S ribosomal RNA
Rfam family: Bacterial small subunit ribosomal RNA
Source: RNAcentral